CCUACGGGUGGCUGCAGUGGGGAAUAUUGGACAAUGGGGGGAACCCUGAUCCAGCCAUGCCGCGUGUGUGAAGAAGGCCCUCGGGUUGUAAAGCACUUUCAGUGAGGAAGAACGCCUGGUGGUUAAUACCCAUCAGGAAAGACAUCACUCACAGAAGAAGCACCGGCUAACUCCGUGCCAGCAGCCGCGGUAAUACGGAGGGUGCGAGCGUUAAUCGGAAUUACUGGGCGUAAAGCGCGCGUAGGUGGCUUGAUAAGCCGGUUGUGAAAGCCCCGGGCUCAACCUGGGAACGGCAUCCGGAACUGUCCAGCUAGAGUGCAGGAGAGGAAGGUAGAAUUCCCGGUGUAGCGGUGAAAUGCGUAGAGAUCGGGAGGAAUACCAGUGGCGAAGGCGGCCUUCUGGACUGACACUGACACUGAGGUGCGAAAGCGUGGGUAGCAAACAGGAUUAGAUACCCCGGUAGUC
This 465-nucleotide ribosomal RNA is filed under the name Vreelandella stevensii. RNAcentral describes it as "partial 16S ribosomal RNA". It matches the Rfam family "Bacterial small subunit ribosomal RNA", at positions 338 to 795 of the family's 1533-position model. The record is from RNAcentral. Lineage: Bacteria; Pseudomonadati; Pseudomonadota; Gammaproteobacteria; Oceanospirillales; Halomonadaceae.